Long non-coding RNA from Camponotus floridanus (Florida carpenter ant), 767 nucleotides. RefSeq lists it as uncharacterized. The transcript has 3 exons. Lineage: Eukaryota; Metazoa; Arthropoda; Insecta; Hymenoptera; Formicidae. The record is from RefSeq and is a predicted model, not a curated record.
UAUCACCCACCACAUCGCAAACUCAUAGCAGGAAGGGAUAGCUCCAGCAGCCGACCCACCAAUCACCAAAAAGGCCCACCUCUUCUCCCUACCAUUAAACAUCGAACCAGAGGAAGGUAUAUAAGGCCGCCGCCGCCGCCGCCGGUGUGUCUCUGCGCCAUUAACUCGCCUGUGUCUCAGCUCUCUCUACGCCCAUCAGAUCUCCAGCUCUCGAAGAGGACAAACCUAGAAGCCUACCGGACACCUUAACUUAUUCGAAAAUAACUUAGUCGCGAUUCUGAUUUUUUUUUUCUUUCGGGACUUAGUCUCAAUCUCUAUUAAGAGAGCUGUAUCAACAUUAACACUUUAAUAAAGUGCUACCAUCCAGCAACCUCUGACUCUUUGGCCAUUCUCUGCGCUGCCUUGCCACUUCUUCAGGUUCUCACCGAGGUCGAGCAACCCAGGGAAGGAGCAGCGGUGCCUGCAUUCAUCCAUUGAUCCCGUCAUCCGGUACCUUUCUACGCAUCAUCAUGGUUAACCCCCGCCGAACUUCUUCCGUUGGACGCGAAAUUCCCCUCCGUGCCGCGGGUAUACGCCGCAGGCGUGCCUCCCGGUCGGUACUUAGGCUCCCUACAGCUCGUCAGUUGUUUGCCGACGAGAACGACUUAACAAGCAGAGUAACAAGGUACUCUCCAGUGCGUAGUUUCGCGCCCUCCCGCGCAUACCCUUAUCGUCCUCCCCGAAACCCUCCAGCGGUUCUUCAAGAGGAACACCAGCCCAGAGCCAGG